AAAUAUUAUAAAUAUUAUAUCUAACAUAAUGAGUAUCUAUAAUAUAAUAUAUUAUAGAUACUCAUUAUGCGUGUCUUCUCGUGCGUUAUAACGCACGUAAUUUUAAUCCUCGUGUGGGACAUUAGGGGGGGUCUUAAAAACUCGAUUCUCUUUACUAAACAUCAUCAUACAACAAGUUUUUAUCCUGGGGUGGGUACCCUUUUAAGGCACUUCUUACAUCAAGCAACAAACACAAACACCAAACCUCCUGACCUCCGAACUCGACAACUCAAACUCAACAACUCAAACUCAACAACUCAACUCCUGACCUCCGAACUCAACAACUCAACUCCUCAACUUUCAACUCAACCUACCCAUUCCUUGUUCCUAUUUCCAAAUUUCCUAGUUCCGAUUUCCCUCUCCUCUAAUUCCUAGUUUCAGUUUCGACCCUUCUCUUCUCCCCUCCGUGGUCCCCUUGCCGGAUCGGGGACCACUUCGGCCUCGCUUCGCUCCUUUUCUCUCAAGGUUUCUCAAAAAAGAAAAAGAAAUUACGUAAGUGAGCACAGAAACUUCUACCUUCAUCCGAAGUGGGAGCUCUAAAGGCUGUGCUUGGGGUAUCUUUCGAGAAUUGAUACCCCGGGGAAGUGGUAUUGGUGACACCACUUCCCUAUGCCCAUGUUGACCGACGUUGGCUCCAUACGGAGGGAACGGGGGAUUCUUUUGGUUGGGGAAUGUUUUUUGCUUAACACAUCAAAUCACAAAAAAACAUCCCCCUUAAGAAUCCCCCUCCGGUGGUGAAACAGAGAGAGACUGGCCCUUUAGGGACCAGUCUUUCCUUUAAUAAAUAUAACUCUCUCUAUUAUAAUAGAGAGAGCUAUAUUUAUUAUGUUAAUAAAUAGAUAUCUCUAUAUUAUAAUAUAGAGAUAUCUAUUUAUUAUGUAUUUAUAUAUUAUAAAAAUAUAUAAAUAUUAAAUUUAAAUAUUUAAAAUAAAUAUUAAAAUUAAAAAAAAAUAUUUAUAAAUAUUAUAAAUAUUAUAUCUAACAUAAUGAGUAUCUAUAAUAUAAUAUAUUAUAGAUACUCAUUAUGCGUGUCUUCUCGUGCGUUAUAACGCACGUAAUUUUAAUCCUCGUGUGGGACAUUAGGGGGGGUCUUAAAAACUCGAUUCUCUUUACUAAACAUCAUCAUACAACAAGUUUUUAUCCUGGGGUGGGUACCCUUUUAAGGCACUUCUUACAUCAAGCAACAAACACAAACACCAAACCUCCUGACCUCCGAACUCGACAACUCAAACUCAACAACUCAAACUCAACAACUCAACUCCUGACCUCCGAACUCAACAACUCAACUCCUCAACUUUCAACUCAACCUACCCAUUCCUUGUUCCUAUUUCCAAAUUUCCUAGUUCCGAUUUCCCUCUCCUCUAAUUCCUAGUUUCAGUUUCGACCCUUCUCUUCUCCCCUCCGUGGUCCCCUUGCCGGAUCGGGGACCACUUCGGCCUCGCUUCGCUCCUUUUCUCUCAAGGUUUCUCAAAAAAGAAAAAGAAAUUACGUAAGUGAGCACAGAAACUUCUACCUUCAUCCGAAGUGGGAGCUCUAAAGGCUGUGCUUGGGGUAUCUUUCGAGAAUUGAUACCCCGGGGAAGUGGUAUUGGUGACACCACUUCCCUAUGCCCAUGUUGACCGACGUUGGCUCCAUACGGAGGGAACGGGGGAUUCUUUUGGUUGGGGAAUGUUUUUUGCUUAACACAUCAAAUCACAAAAAAACAUCCCCCUUAAGAAUCCCCCUCCGGUGGUGAAACAGAGAGAGACUGGCCCUUUAGGGACCAGUCUUUCCUUUAAUAAAUAUAACUCUCUCUAUUAUAAUAGAGAGAGCUAUAUUUAUUAUGUUAAUAAAUAGAUAUCUCUAUAUUAUAAUAUAGAGAUAUCUAUUUAUUAUGUAUUUAUAUAUUAUAAAAAUAUAUAAAUAUUAAAUUUAAAUAUUUAAAAUAAAUAUUAAAAUUAAAAAAAAAUAUUUAUAAAUAUUAUAAAUAUUAUAUCUAACAUAAUGAGUAUCUAUAAUAUAAUAUAUUAUA
Molecule: long non-coding RNA, 2050 nt
Filed under: Citrus x clementina
Lineage: Eukaryota; Viridiplantae; Streptophyta; Magnoliopsida; Sapindales; Rutaceae
Description: Citrus clementina (C. clementina) long non-coding RNA (CCLE_LNC006180)
Source: RNAcentral